Callorhinus ursinus (northern fur seal) is the source of this 72-nucleotide non-coding RNA. The record is from RefSeq and is a predicted model, not a curated record. Lineage: Eukaryota; Metazoa; Chordata; Mammalia; Carnivora; Otariidae.
UUUCUUUGCCAGAACUAUUGGAAACGAGCUUACGUUUCUCCUUUUCAGCAUCUGGUCAUCCUUCUUAGCUUU